CAAGAGCGUAUAUUAAAGUUGUUGCAGUUAAAAGCUCGUAGUUGGAUUUCUGGUACAAUGCGCCUGGCCCGCGGCAGUAAUGCUUGUGAGUGCCGGUGCGCGUUGCCAUUCCUUCUAGAAAACGUUUACUACCUUUACCUUGGGCCGGACUCGCGAUCUAGAUCUUUACUUGAAAAAUUAGAGUGUUCAAAGCAGGCUUUUGCUGUGAAUACAUUAGCAUGGAAUAAUAAUCUAGGACUUCGGUUUUAUUUUGUUGGUUUCUAACACUGAAGUAAUGAUUGAUAGGGAUAGUUGGGGUGCUAGUAUUGGCCGGCCAGAGGUGAAAUUCUUGGAUUCGGUCAAGACUAACUUAUGCGAAAGCAUUCACCAAGGAUGUCUUCUUUAAUCAAGAACGAAAGUUGGGGGAUCGAAGAUGAUUAGAUAC
This 424-nucleotide ribosomal RNA is filed under the name uncultured eukaryote. RNAcentral's name for it is "bacterial SSU rRNA". It matches the Rfam family "Eukaryotic small subunit ribosomal RNA", at positions 592 to 1015 of the family's 1831-position model. The record is from RNAcentral.